Long non-coding RNA from Daphnia pulex (common water flea), 632 nucleotides. RefSeq lists it as uncharacterized. The record is from RefSeq and is a predicted model, not a curated record. The transcript is spliced from 2 exons. NCBI's taxonomy places the organism in Eukaryota, Metazoa, Arthropoda, Branchiopoda, Diplostraca, Daphniidae.
AAAAACCCGUUUCUUUAUUCUAUUCUUUUUAUUUUUAUAUUUUUAAACCUCGGUGGGAAUUUCCAUUUUGGCGAAGGAAAAAAUUCCCCGACCCCCGAAAGUGAACGACAUUUUUUCGCACGUGAGUUCGUGAAUAUAUAAAAAGGGCUGUUCGUUCACGGUGUACCAAUCAUUCCCUCGCCGUCUAUCCACUGGAACAGUUACAGCAAUCACACCGAUGUGCAAAAUUUGUUAUACAUUCGUUCAAUCAAAAGGGAAUUAAUUUAUUCAAAUUUAACAAAACAAAAUGGAUUCCGUUAGCAAUGCCAGCAGCCAAGAGCAUUUCUCAAAGACCGGCUGUCUGAAACUAUUCAACAUUUUCAUCUAUUUCAAAUUGAGAAAAUCGACCAAAACCAUCAGCGCUAAAAAACCCAAAUGUUUUUCCUACAAUUUAUUGCAGAGGUCGUUCACUGGUCUUUUCUGAAAGUGGACCAAAACUUUUUCUGCAGCAACAAAACUACGUCGUACCUUGAAGAUUUUAUUAUUUGAAUUUCCACGUCCGUGACGUGAAUAUUUCUGUAAUUAUUGAUCUUGUCAAAUCCCGCUCAUUUGCAUACACAAUUAAUUGACUAAUAAAAUGAUUUAUUCCAAAA